This 1128-nucleotide long non-coding RNA is filed under the name Oreochromis niloticus (Nile tilapia). Its description in RNAcentral is "lncRNA (ENSONIG00000035284.1)". Lineage: Eukaryota; Metazoa; Chordata; Actinopteri; Cichliformes; Cichlidae. The record is from RNAcentral.
CGGAGACUCUGGAGAAACUGUGAAACUGAUUUACCAUCAUCACCGUGUACCCCUGUGUAGGCACCACAUUCCUGCCUUUUUCUAUCACUUUUUGAGAACUGAAAAGAAGACAGACAUUGUACACCCAGAGAUCAUUAGAUGUUUGGAAGGAUUUAUAUCUGAGCUGCCACGCCUUAGAAGAGCAGCGGAGACAAUUUACUUAUUGCUGUCCAUGAGAGUCGAUAUAUUUAAGAAGCUUUUAAUAGUAAAAUCAUUUUUUAAAAGUUUUUGAUUACUUCAUAAAUACUUUUUCAUCCUCAGCUUAAGAACACAAUCAAUCCAUUUUAGACUUACAGGAACUCGGAGACUGAACCAAGUAGUGCAGGAGCUGUGUAAGGAAAAUACACCUUUUCACCUGGAAGUUGACUAAAACUCGAUUUACAACAAAGAAGAAACACUGAAGGUAAAUGUAUAUCACCACAUCACAUCUACAAGUGCUGAAUUUGAUAUAUAAUUUAUCAGUAGAACAUUAAAUUGAGUAAAAAAAAAUAAUUCUUUAUUGUUUUAUAGAUGCCAGCUCGUCGUUUUGACUACCCUGAAGGAAUGGAGGAUGAGGAAAAGAAAAUAUUCAAACGUAAAACUCUGAUGAAAAACCCAGAGAUUCUCUAUGAAGACACAUAUCAAACUGGUAUAAGAUGCAACCUCAUUUUCUUCACCCAAUCUGGAGCAGACUACAGGGCUGCAAUAGAAGAUGCGUACCCUCAAUCCAAGGAUAUUCAAAUGGCCAACAAACUGAAACUUGAGCUCUCUGAUGGAGGCACUGUGUCCAUAUUUCCCAGUGGAAAGAUUUUAAUUCAAGUCUGUAGGUUUGAAGAAUUAUAGUUUUGUACCCACUGAGGUCCGUCUCAUAUCUAAAGGUCGGUUUUCCACAGAGAUGAAUGAGAUUUAAUCUUCAGCCACUCAAAUUAAGAUGUCACAACAUCAGCAUUCAGGUACAUGUCCUGCAGAUCAGUUAGGUUAAGAUAAAACAUGGGAUAUUAUUUUAUAGUUUAUUGAUUUUGCUUUGCCUUUGCUAAGUUAUAUAAAUAAAAUAUCAUGCAUACAAACGUCUAACCUGUGGACAUUCCCAUGUUUGAUGUUGAGCUACGU